UUGCUGAAGUAAAUAUAGUACUGUGUCUGGAUCCCUGUCACAGAUCCCCUGAAUCUCAGGCAGGUGUUGCUCUGUGGAAGGGCUGUACUUCUGAGAAAGGGGGCUCUGGCCCUCUGCAUCCUCUGCAGAGGAUUUGUGAGAUGCCUGAAGAUGGGCAGCUAUAUCCUUGUCUGUGUUCUGCUGGGCUUUCAAUCUUUCUUCACGCUGGGCCGUUUUCCAUCUCUCUUGGAUGAGGAGGAGCUGUUUCAUGUGGCUAUCCCUUUGCAAUUCCAGUGAAAGAUGAGCCUGCUCAGAUUGUGUCAGCUUCAUGGCUUCAGAAAGAUAUGCCGCAGCCUUUUUGUAAGAAGAAAUAGCCUCUUCGUAUUUGCCUGCAGCUAAUGAAUGGUCUGCUCAUCAGGGACAUGGAUGAAUCUGGAAACCAUCAUUCUCAGCAAACUGACACAAGAACAGUAAAACAAACACUGCAUGUUCUCACUCACAGGCGGGUGUUCAACAAUCAGAACACAUGGACACAGGGAGGUGAGCAUCACACAUUGGGGUCUGUUGAGGGGGGAUGGGGAGGGGCAGCGGGGAGUACUGAGGUUCAGAAGGGAUAACAUGGGGAGAAAUGCCAUAUAUAGGUGAUGGGUGGGAUGGAGGCAGCAAACCCCACUGCCAUGUAUGCACCUGUCCAACAGUCCUGCAUGUUUUACACAUGUAACCCAGAACCUAAAGUGCAAUAAAAUAUAUUUUAAAAAUACAUGUGUAGAUGACCAGUGUGGAAAUAGGGAUGAAGGAAUAUACUAG
RNAcentral lists this long non-coding RNA (786 nucleotides) under Callithrix jacchus (white-tufted-ear marmoset). RNAcentral describes it as "lncRNA (ENSCJAG00000062408.2)". The record is from RNAcentral. Lineage: Eukaryota; Metazoa; Chordata; Mammalia; Primates; Cebidae.